UGGGGAAUAUUGCACAAUGGGCGCAAGCCUGAUGCAGCCAUGCCGCGUGUAUGAAGAAGGCCUUCGGGUUGUAAAGUACUUUCAGCGGGGAGGAAGGGAGUAAAGUUAAUACCUUUGCUCAUUGACGUUACCCGCAGAAGAAGCACCGGCUAACUCCGUGCCAGCAGCCGCGGUAAUACGGAGGGUGCAAGCGUUAAUCGGAAUUACUGGGCGUAAAGCGCACGCAGGCGGUUUGUUAAGUCAGAUGUGAAAUCCCCGGGCUCAACCUGGGAACUGCAUCUGAUACUGGCAAGCUUGAGUCUCGUAGAGGGGGGUAGAAUUCCAGGUGUAGCGGUGAAAUGCGUAGAGAUCUGGAGGAAUACCGGUGGCGAAGGCGGCCCCCUGGACGAAGACUGACGCUCAGGUGCGAAAGCGUUGGGAGCAAACAGG
RNAcentral lists this ribosomal RNA (429 nucleotides) under Chloroflexota bacterium. RNAcentral's name for it is "Chloroflexi bacterium partial 16S ribosomal RNA". It matches the Rfam family "Bacterial small subunit ribosomal RNA", at positions 355 to 776 of the family's 1533-position model. Lineage: Bacteria; Bacillati; Chloroflexota. The record is from RNAcentral.